CUUUGGCCAUGUCUGCUUCUGGCGAAACAGCAAUUUUCAAGACCAGGAAAAUCAAAAUCUCCAGUGGCUUUGUGACCUAAAUUUAUAGUACACUGAGAAGCUCUCUUCCCUACAUUUGGGUUACAGUAUUCAGGAAAGCACAGAUAGAAACUCAGAAAGAUCGACGUGCCCAGAAAAUCAGUGUUCUGAAAGGCCACUUGUCGAGUGGCAUUUCUAGUUUGCUCCCUGAAUUUUCAGAAGAGACUACUGAAUUAACUAAUAAAAGAGAAUGAAUCAUUCAGAGGGAAUGAUCAGUUCUACCAAAGUCCAGGCAUCCAGCAAAGAGGAAACCAAGCUAAUUGGAAAAUAAAUUGGCAAAAUUCUGAA
Molecule: long non-coding RNA, 366 nt
Organism: Heterocephalus glaber (naked mole-rat)
Lineage: Eukaryota; Metazoa; Chordata; Mammalia; Rodentia; Bathyergidae
Source: Ensembl